UUAUCGCUAUCAUUUUACAUUUUUUUUUUUUGGUGGAAUUUUAGGAUUAAUGAGUGAAAUUAGGGAAGGACUGCGGAUCGGUAUAUUAGGUUAGAAAAUUGGGUUUUGCUACGCACCAAGUCUUUAGCUUGAACAAAUAGUUAUACCUUGUCAGUCUCUAUUAUAAAGAGUACUAGUCAACUUGUCGAGAUAGACGGCCUUAUUAUUCCUGGAGGAGAGAGCACUUCUAUUUCUUUGUUGUGCGAACGUUCUAACUUGUAUGAACCACUAAGGAAUUUUGUAAAUGAAGGAAACCCGGUGUGGGGAACUUGCGCGGGUUUGGUGUUUUUAAGUAAGUACGUCUCGCAAGUAAAAAAUGGUGGUCAAAAGUUCUUGGAAAGCAUGGAUAUAAAAACUGAAAGAAAUUACUUUGGUUCACAGAAAGAUAGCUUUGAAGUGCUUAUAAAAACUCCUUGUUUAAAGGGAAAGAAACCUUUUCGAUGUCUAUUUAUUCGGGCUCCUGUUAUCACUGCUGUAGAUCAAGACAAAGUCGAGGCCUUGGCUGAACUUGAGAAAAGUGGAAAGAGCUUAAUUGUUGCUGCUCGUCAAGAAAACAAACUAGUUACGGGUUUUAAUAUUAUAUAAAUAACUCCAUAUCGCUUUCUGCACGUGUUUACAAUAGCUUUCCACCCGGAGCUCACUGACGAUCCACGUUGGCACCAGUACUUUUUAGAUAUUGUUAAAAGUCACAAAAAAUCUAGUAAGGUGUAAAUUUAUCUCCACACUUAAAAAAGAC
This is an RNA transcript of Zophobas morio, 775 nucleotides long. It is a transcript of the gene named pyridoxal 5'-phosphate synthase subunit PdxT-like, with no coding region annotated. The transcript has 7 exons. The record is from RefSeq and is a predicted model, not a curated record. NCBI's taxonomy places the organism in Eukaryota, Metazoa, Arthropoda, Insecta, Coleoptera, Tenebrionidae.